This 235-nucleotide long non-coding RNA is filed under the name Trifolium pratense (red clover). Its description in RNAcentral is "long non-coding RNA (TPRA_LNC009096)". The record is from RNAcentral. Lineage: Eukaryota; Viridiplantae; Streptophyta; Magnoliopsida; Fabales; Fabaceae.
GCAAAGAACUAACAAUGGAUGGAGUAAAAUAUCAAUAUUAGAACGUUGAACACCAACCAAUUAUAACAGUGCCUAAGCUGCAUACACACUAUUUGACAAAGAUUUAUAAAAACUCAUAUUAGCAACAAAAAAAAAAAAACACGUGACUUAAUUAUCGUCUAAGCACCCCGUGAUUUUGCCUCAGAACUCUGUUGGUGCAUAUGAAAUACACAAUCUUUUGUCAUCUGAUAAAGCG